This 253-nucleotide ribosomal RNA is filed under the name uncultured bacterium. RNAcentral's name for it is "partial 16S ribosomal RNA". It matches the Rfam family "Bacterial small subunit ribosomal RNA", at positions 524 to 776 of the family's 1533-position model. The record is from RNAcentral.
UACGUAGGGGGCAAGCGUUGUUCGGAAUUACUGGGCGUAAAGGGCGCGUAGGCGGCACGGCAAGUCGGGAGUGAAAGCCCGGGGCUCAACCCCGGAACGUCUCACGAAACUGCCGAGCUAGAGUGCGGAAGAGGCAACUGGAAUUCCCAGUGUAGCGGUGAAAUGCGUAGAUAUUGGGAAGAACACCUGAGGCGAAGGCGGGUUGCUGGGCCGACACUGACGCUGAGGCGCGAAAGCCAGGGGAGCAAACGGG